UGGAACAGGGUGCGGUAACGUUUCACUCAUCCUGUUGUUCCCGGAUAUUCAAUCCUUAACUCGUUUGUUGACCUGUUUAUUUCACAGCAUUGUUUCACAGUUUCACAGCAUUGCUCAUUUUCAGUGGACACAUUAAAACAACCUGUAACUUUAAAACUUCUACCUGGAAGUUACACUCACAGUUUGGAUAAUAACCUGAGGAACGAACUGAACAAUGCCUAAUCUUUCCAACAACCUGUUGGAUGAUGGAGCUCUGAGUCAGAACUUGUUGACAUGCAGGGCUCAGCGCUGUAAUAAUGUUGGUGAUUGUGUAAUUCGGAACGGAUUGCAGGUUUGUAAGUGUAUGCUGGGCUACAGAGGAGACGCGUGCCAAGAAACGGUCAAUGAAGGACUAGCCAUCCCUCUCACACUGGGAGUCCUGGGUUUCAUUGUUGCCUUUAUUAUCCUGGCAUUUGCUCUAGCAUUUGUCCAGCAAAGGAGAAGGGAACGUAUAUGGGAAAAAACUAAUGAGGAAAAGGAGGCCUUGAAAAACAAUGGAAAUUUAUCUCACACAAAAAUAGGUUUGUGACCACUUCACUCCAACACAAGAUAAAACACCAAUAAAAGGAAAAAGGGAGUUUUUGUAUGUCUAAAGUAUUUCAACGAAGAUGAAUACUCAUUGUCGUUGUUUGCUUGGAAGCAUGCCUUAAAGGUUUGGGACCUUUAUGCUUAAUACAAAAUCCUCAUUUCUGCUUUUAAAGGAAAGAAAACGGGUGUCUUGUGCUUGGGUGCUCCUUGAAAGACUCAGCUUGCUGAAUGGUAAUGACUGAUAUUUUGUGCAUGCCUUCCUGUUUUGCCAAAUGUGUUCUCAGUGGGAUUUUUUUGACGUGAAAUGUCAGCGAUACUAUCUCAUCUCACUCUCAAUCUCGUACCUGAGACAAUGACUAUGCAGUAUCUUACUUAAAAUGUCAAGUAUUUCUGAAAUGUGUUUGACUUUAAAUAGUUUCAAAUCCUACUGGCCAGUUGAAACCAUGCAGCAUUUUAGAUUAGAUUAGCUUACAGAUUUGUGUAUUGGGUGGUUUGUGUAGCUCUUGUACUUUUGAUGAACACAUUUCAUGUUACUUAAGCCUUUUGACAAAAGCACUAGAAUUAGAUGGUCCACUGUAUUCGCACUUCAAAAACCGGCCAUGAAAAAAUCGUUAAUGGCAUUUUUAUGUUCCAAGGUUGUCUUUUUAAAAUUUGUUUGUUGCCCACUUAUUGUUACCUGAAUAAAAAGCAUGUUAGA
Molecule: long non-coding RNA, 1264 nt
Organism: Tachysurus vachellii
Lineage: Eukaryota; Metazoa; Chordata; Actinopteri; Siluriformes; Bagridae
Exons: 4
Source: RefSeq, a predicted model, not a curated record